This 267-nucleotide ribosomal RNA is filed under the name uncultured bacterium. RNAcentral describes it as "partial 16S ribosomal RNA". It matches the Rfam family "Bacterial small subunit ribosomal RNA", at positions 793 to 1055 of the family's 1533-position model. The record is from RNAcentral.
GUCCACGCCGUAAACGAUGAUAACUAGCUGUCCGGGUUCAUAGAACUUGGGUGGCGCAGCUAACGCAUUAAGUUAUCCGCCUGGGGAGUACGGUAGCAAGAUUAAAACUCAAAGGAAUUGACGGGGGCCUGCACAAGCGGUGGAGCAUGUGGUUUAAUUCGAAGCAACGCGCAGAACCUUACCAGCGUUUGACAUCCCGAUCGCGAUUACCAGAGAUGGUUUUCUUCAGUUAGGCUGGAUCGGUGACAGGUGCUGCAUGGCUGUCGU